AUUGAACGCUGGCGGCAGGCCUAACACAUGCAAGUCGAACGAGUGGCGGACGGGUGAGUAAUGUCUGGGAAACUGCCUGAUGGAGGGGGAUAACUACUGGAAACGGUAGCUAAUACCGCAUACCAUCGGAUGUGCCCAGAUGGGAUUAGCUAGUAGGUGGGGUAAAGGCUCACCUAGGCGACGUUCCCUAGCUGGUCUGAGAGGAUGACCGGCCACACUGGAACAUGGACACGGUCCAGACGCCAACGGGAAGCAGCAGUGGGGAAUAUUGCACAAUCGGCGGAAGCCUGAUGCAGCCAUGCCGCGUGUAUGAAGAAGGCCUUCGGAUUGUAAAGAACUUUCAGAGAGGAGGCGUUACCCGCAGAAGAAGCACCGGCUAACACCGUGCCAGCAGCCGCGGUAAUUC
This 406-nucleotide ribosomal RNA is filed under the name uncultured bacterium. RNAcentral describes it as "partial 16S ribosomal RNA". It matches the Rfam family "Bacterial small subunit ribosomal RNA", at positions 30 to 526 of the family's 1533-position model. The record is from RNAcentral.